RNAcentral lists this ribosomal RNA (1217 nucleotides) under Gyalolechia subbracteata. Its description in RNAcentral is "eukaryotic LSU rRNA". It matches the Rfam family "Eukaryotic large subunit ribosomal RNA", at positions 1 to 973 of the family's 3401-position model. Lineage: Eukaryota; Fungi; Ascomycota; Lecanoromycetes; Teloschistales; Teloschistaceae. The record is from RNAcentral.
AAUUGACCUCGGAUCAGGUAGGGAUACCCGCUGAACUUAAGCAUAUCAAUAAGCGGAGGAAAAGAAACCAACAGGGAUUGCCUCAGUAACGGCGAGUGAAGCGGCAACAGCUCAAAUUUGAAAUCUGACCCCGUCGGGGUUCGAGUUGUAAUUUGUAGAGGAUGUUUCGGGCGCGAAGCCGGUCUAAGUCCCUUGGAACGGGGCGUCGGAGAGGGUGAGAAUCCCGUAUGUGACCGGCGAUCAAGCCUCUGUGAAACUCCUUCGACGAGUCGAGUUGUUUGGGAAUGCAGCUCAAAAUGGGUGGUAAAUUUCAUCUAAAGCUAAAUAUUGGCCAGAGACCGAUAGCGCACAAGUAGAGUGAUCGAAAGAUGAAAAGCACUUUGGAAAGAGAGUCAAAAAGUACGUGAAAUUGUUGAAAGGGAAGCGCUUGCAACCAGACCUGCCCGCGGGCGAUCAGCCGUCCCUUUCGGGGGCGGUGCACGCGCCCGCGAACAGGCCAGCAUCGGUUCGGGCGGCCGGAUAAAGGCCCGGGGAACGUAGCUCCUCUCGGGGAGUGUUAUAGCCCCGGGUGCAAUGCGGCCCGCCUGGACCGAGGACCGCGCUUCGGCUAGGAUGCUGGCGUAAUGGUUGUAAGCGGCCCGUCUUGAAACACGGACCAAGGAGUCUAACAUCCAUGCGAGUGUUUGGGUGUCAAACCCAUGCGCGUAAUGAAAGUGAACGGAGGUAGGAACCCAUGAGGGCGCACUAUCGACCGAUCCUGAUGUCUUCGGAUGGAUUUGAGUACGAGCAUGGCUGUUGGAACCCGAAAGGUAAAUUAAAACUUCCAUCGAAAGGAAGACCGUUCGCUAAUAGUGUUUCUCCAGAUGGUGAACUAUGCCUGAAUAGGGUGAAGCCAGAGGAAACUCUGGUGGAGGCUCGCAGCGGUUCUGACGUGCAAAUCGAUCGUCAAAUUUGGGUAUAGGGGCGAAAGUAAGUUAGCGCAUUUCCCAUUUUGCCAGCCUGGCCGCCCGGAAGGAACGGAGGUCCCUUCGGCAGCGGAGUUUCAGGGGGGUUUAGGCCUCAGACGCCGAACCCCUCGGGGGUGGAAGCUCUUCCGGCACGGAGGGAGGGGGACUAGUGACGGACGAGGGGACUGAAGCUCUCUUUCGGAUGGUUGGCCGGCUGGCGUUUGAUGACUAAUCGACCUCUAGUUAACUGGUUCCAGCCGAAGUUUCUUU